CUGUUUUGCCAUAUUCUCUCC
RNAcentral lists this non-coding RNA (21 nucleotides) under Arabidopsis thaliana (thale cress). The record is from RNAcentral. Lineage: Eukaryota; Viridiplantae; Streptophyta; Magnoliopsida; Brassicales; Brassicaceae.